Molecule: unclassified non-coding RNA, 1590 nt
Filed under: Hevea brasiliensis (rubber tree)
Lineage: Eukaryota; Viridiplantae; Streptophyta; Magnoliopsida; Malpighiales; Euphorbiaceae
Source: RNAcentral
ACGUUGUCUUUUCCCCUUUGCAGCUUAAAUAUAUUCAUUGAAAUUAAAAUUGGGUUACUAAUUUAUUUAUUUAUUGAAUAAACACUUAAUUGUAAAAUAAUAUAUAUUACAAUUCUAAAACAAAUAAUAAGAUUUAAAAAUGUUGUAUCUUAAUAAAGCUUUAUCAGUACUUUUUUUUUUUUAAAUUCUUAGCAAAUUAAGAGCUAGUAAUAUUCAUCAGCAUGCAGUUUUUAAUUAACAUUCAUUUUUCUUUUUUUUUUUAUCUUUAAAUAUAUUCAUGAUCAGAACUCAUAUUUGCAAUAUAAAUUAAAUGUGAAUAUCUAUUGUUGAUUUAUAUAUAUACAAACGUGUGUCUCGAAUUAUUGUCCAUUAUGUAAAAGCUGAGUUUAUGGCAACAGAUUCAAUCAGACAAUAUUAAAAGUUGAGCACUUGCACACUUUUUUAGGUUGUAAAGAAAAUGGAUUGCGUUUAACCCUAUCCAAAAAUUAGCUCAAGGUGAAGUAAGUCUUAUAUUUAGAUGAGAGACUUUGUUUCAAACUAAUGUGGGACAAUACACUUUUUUCAUACCUAGAUAUAAACAUUUGUAAUGUAAAAUUUACAAGCAAACAUAUUAUUGAAGUAGAGUAAAAUCUGAUAUCAUGUAGAAAAAAUGAAUAAGUCUAAUUCCACCCUAAAAGUUAGCUCAAGGGUUUACCCUAGUCAUAUAUUUAGAUAAGAGUCCUCAUUCCAAUCCCAUGUGAGACAACAUCAUUGGGAUGGGUUAGGAAAGAAGAUCAUUUCCUAUUAUGCAGCCCAAAUUUACUCAUCGCGCUAAAAAGAGACAUAAUUAAUCUUCAUAAGAAGUGAUUUGUUAGAUAUAUAAAACUAUUAUUUGAAUUUUUACUUGUAAAUUUAAGUAAGUUGAGUGGUUUUUUUUUCAUAGUAUCAAAGCUUUUCAAAUUAAAAGGUUCAAAAUUCAAAUUCUGAUAGUAUGUGGAGAUGUAUUAGAGAUAUAGAAAUAUUCUUAGAGCUUUUAAAUACUUAUAAGGUUAAACUUUUAGAUUAAGUUGUUUCUUGAUAAGAUUUAGAUUGUGAAUUCAACUUUAGUAAAUAUUGAGACUCUAAAAAUUAAUUAUGUAGUUUUAAAUUGUAUUUUUAUUUUCUGGUUAUUUAUUAAUUAUUUGAUUACUUUAUUUUAUAUAAAUGUAUUUUAACUUCAUCCAAUAAAUGGGAAAAAGAAGAGGGGAGGGUAGUGUUUCAGACUUGAUGGUUUACACUUUACACUAUUUCAUAUUUAGGUAGAUAUUUUCUUGUUUAAAUUAGAAAGUUCAUUUAUAUAAGAGACAAAAUAUAUUAUCAACGUAUCAAUAAGAAAUAAUCUAAUUAUUUUUUUUAUUUUUAAAAUUAUAAAAAAAUAACAAAUUCGAAUCUUUUUAACUUUUAAGUCGAGAAUUAUUCAGAGAGAAUGAGUGUCACUUACUAUAUAGCUCAUCAAUGUAUAAAUCCUAAAGCAAGGACAAUAUUAGGAGUCGAAAGAGAAAAAUGCUAUGCUUUGUUUGGAUGAGAAUGAGAGAGGGAGAGAAAUACCAUGCACCGAAAGUGUUUUGGGAU